UUAGUUGUAAUUUUGCAUCUUUUCUCUGGUUCUGAUGAACAGUCCAGUGACUUUGGGGACAGAUUAAUUCUAUGAAGUGUGGUGAUUGACCCAGAGGAAGGACAUGGCCUCUAUUUGGAGUGCAGCACAACUAGAAACGACAGAUAUCACCUUACCCAGAAAUAAAUUUAUAUGCAAGAGUGAAGAAGAGGAAGAGUGUUUCUUAUGACUACUUCAAAAUGAAAGCUAUGUAAUCCAAAUAUAAUUUAAUGAAGCUUAAUAUUAUGGACUUCAAAAUAAUGCUAACCAGUGGCGUUCAGAUAACAGUUUAGAGAGUUUUGUCUGUAAUUUAUUGCUCAUUGCAUUCCUUCAAUUUUAGAUAUAGCCUCUCGCUCCUUUGUAAAAUAAUUUUCUUACAAACUAAAACAUUUGUUCAUUAAUAAAC
Molecule: long non-coding RNA, 424 nt
Filed under: Anser brachyrhynchus (Pink-footed goose)
Lineage: Eukaryota; Metazoa; Chordata; Aves; Anseriformes; Anatidae
Description: lncRNA (ENSABRG00000017988.1)
Source: RNAcentral